RNAcentral lists this unclassified non-coding RNA (302 nucleotides) under uncultured fungus. RNAcentral's name for it is "partial contains 5.8S ribosomal RNA, internal transcribed spacer 2, and large subunit ribosomal RNA". The stretch from base 1 to 52 matches the Rfam family "5.8S ribosomal RNA", at positions 103 to 154 of the family's 154-position model. Lineage: Eukaryota; Fungi. The record is from RNAcentral.
AACGCACCUUGCGCUCCUUGGUAUUCCGAGGAGCAUGCCUGUUUGAGUGUCAUUAAAUCAUCAAACCUUUCAAUUUCCAAAGAUUGGAAGGUUUGGAUGUGGGAGCGUUGUUGGCCUUUUCUUGGUCAGCUCUCCUCAAAUCUAUUAGCCGGGAAGCUUUUGUAACCUGUCUAUUGGUGUGAUAAUUAUCUAUACCAUUGACAGCUACACUUAGUAUAAGCAUUCUGCUUCUAACUGUCUACCUAAUGGACAAUUUUUGACAAUUUGACCUCAAAUCAGGUAGGACUACCCGCUGAACUUAA